AUAAAGCUACAUUGUUCGUACGAUAUUAAGUUUUAACCUUUACAUUGUAACAGGGAGUUUUAAUCGUUUAGGAAAUGGCGUGCCCAGACUCUUUUGACUUUGGGAUAGACAGGAACUAAAUUGCGAACACCCACUUUGAGGAGUGGUGGUUUAAAACUUUCUAUUCAUAUUACGUCAAUUGUAGCUUUAUA
This 191-nucleotide non-coding RNA is filed under the name Caryophanon tenue. RNAcentral's name for it is "6S RNA". It matches the Rfam family "6S / SsrS RNA". Rfam says of the family: E. coli 6S RNA was the first non coding RNA to be sequenced, but its function was unknown until recently. It consists of 184 nucleotides that fold into an extended hairpin structure with a large single-stranded internal bulge. Lineage: Bacteria; Bacillati; Bacillota; Bacilli; Caryophanales; Caryophanaceae. The record is from RNAcentral.